GAUGAAGAACGUAGCGAAAUGCGAUAAGUAGUGUGAAUUGCAGAAUUCAGUGAAUCAUCGAAUCUUUGAACGCACAUUGCGCCCCUUGGUAUUCCAUGGGGCAUGCCUGUUCGAGCGUCAUUUGUACCCUCAAGCUCUGCUUGGUGUUGGGUGUUUGUCCUCUCCCUCGUGUUUGGACUCGCCUUAAAGCAAUUGGCAGCCAGUGUUUUGGUAUUGAAGCGCAGCACAUUUUGCGAUUCUAGCCUGUAAAUACUAGCAUCCAGUAAGCCUUUUUUCACUUUUGACCUCGGAUCAGGUAGGGAUACCCGCUGAACUUAAGCAUAUCAAUAAGCGGAGGA
RNAcentral lists this unclassified non-coding RNA (338 nucleotides) under soil metagenome. Its description in RNAcentral is "partial contains 5.8S ribosomal RNA, internal transcribed spacer 2, and large subunit ribosomal RNA". The stretch from base 1 to 120 matches the Rfam family "5.8S ribosomal RNA", at positions 35 to 154 of the family's 154-position model. The record is from RNAcentral.